CCUACGGGAGGCAGCAGUGAGGAAUAUUGGUCAAUGGGCGGGAGUCUGAACCAGCCAAGUCGCGUGAGGGAAGAAGGUACUGAGUAUUGUAAACCUCUUUUGUCAGGGGAUAAAAGCGGCCACGGGUGGCCGUAAGAGGGUACCUGGAGAAUAAGCAUCGGCUAACUCCGUGCCAGCAGCCGCGGUAAUACGGAGGAUGCGAGCGUUAUCCGGAUUUAUUGGGGUUAAGGGGUGCGUAGGCGGCUGGUAAAGUCAGCGUGAAAAUGUCGGGGCUCAACCCCGGCCGGGCGUUGAAACGGGCGUGCUCGAGUUGGGUAGAGGUAUGCGGAAUUCGUGGUGUAGCGGUGAAAUGCAUAGAUAUCACGAAGAACCCCGAUUGCGAAGGCAGCAUACCGGCUCCACACUGACGCUGAGGCACGAAAGCGUGGGUAUCGAACAGGAUUAGAUACCCCUGUAGUC
This 459-nucleotide ribosomal RNA is filed under the name uncultured bacterium. RNAcentral describes it as "partial 16S ribosomal RNA". It matches the Rfam family "Bacterial small subunit ribosomal RNA", at positions 338 to 795 of the family's 1533-position model. The record is from RNAcentral.